RNAcentral lists this long non-coding RNA (495 nucleotides) under Castor canadensis (American beaver). RNAcentral's name for it is "lncRNA (ENSCCNG00000008512.1)". The record is from RNAcentral. Lineage: Eukaryota; Metazoa; Chordata; Mammalia; Rodentia; Castoridae.
AAGCCAGCACUAACAAGUCAACUAUGGCAGGACAGGGCAAUUGCCAGCAAGGGAAGGCUUCUGAUUCUGCUAACUAUCCAUCUUCUUCCAGGACCAUCUCCUCCAUCCUGAACACCUGUCUGAACCAAUACUUGGAGGACUUCUGUCAGCUUCCAGACUUUCUGUGCCUCAUGCUGCUGAUAGCUUAUCUUCAGCUCAACAUGUUGGGAUCAAAUGAGGAUUGCCAUGCUCAGCUUCUUCUGGCCCAGUGGGAACACUUAGAGUUCAGUGAGCCUGAAACUGAGAAACAUUGCCAUCUACUGCCUGAAGAGGACUUGGGAAGAAGUCUCCAGGCAUGUGUGCCUCCCUCUGGAGAAGCUACUUGUGUACAGGAAAGCUUCCAGAAAUUUGAGAAGCUGUCAAGGAUUUUUUCUCCUGAAAAGAAUCACUCCAUGAGCAGAAAGCUGCUCACCAAGGUGGGUGGAAACUUAGCAUUGACAUGGGAAUACAGAAGGU